AGAGCACCGUGUUCUUGGCCAGGAUCUUGUGGCGCCGCAUCCCCUUCGGAUCUUCAAACCUAUGGCCUGCAGGCAGUGGCUCCCAUCAGUUGUGCUCCUUUUGACGAAGAAACAGGAGCUCCUUCAGGCACCGUGGGCUGCGGCGGUGAAGCCUCCUCAGUCGAGUCAGAGCCUGAAACGUAACGGCUAUACCUUGAAUCUCGCACCCUGCAAGCUUCAUCACAUUUUGCUCUCGCUGAAAGGUACACAGGCACUGUGCUUGGAUACGUGAAGCUAGAAUGAAACGAAAUGGACCGGUGGAGGGCGGAUGUCACCGUGUUGGUAGCAGUGUCAUCGCAAGAGAAAGAGACAAGCUUUGUGCAUAGCUCAUCCAUUGCAGGAAAUAGUUUUGACAAAAU
This is a long non-coding RNA of Ixodes scapularis (black-legged tick), 398 nucleotides long. RefSeq lists it as uncharacterized. The record is from RefSeq and is a predicted model, not a curated record. NCBI's taxonomy places the organism in Eukaryota, Metazoa, Arthropoda, Arachnida, Ixodida, Ixodidae. The transcript is spliced from 3 exons.